Eriocheir sinensis (Chinese mitten crab) is the source of this 1237-nucleotide long non-coding RNA. RefSeq lists it as uncharacterized. The transcript has 2 exons. The record is from RefSeq and is a predicted model, not a curated record. Lineage: Eukaryota; Metazoa; Arthropoda; Malacostraca; Decapoda; Varunidae.
GAGCCCCUUCAGAGUAUUGUUGCCAUACCAAAGCCACAUGUUGGUUGGUAUGUGACAUUUGAAGGCGAGUUUCUAGAUCCCAAACAAAAUACUGAAGCCUGUUUGAGCCCCUUCAGAGUACUAUUGUUGUCAUACCAGUCACAUGUUGGUUGGUAUGUGACAUUUGAAGGCGAGUUUCUAGAUCCCAAACAAAAUACUGAAGCCUGUUUGAGCCCCUUCAGAGUACUAUUGUUGUCAUACCAAAGUCACAUGUUGGUUGGUAUGUGACAUUUGAAGGCGAGUUUCUAGAUCCCAAACAAAAUACUGAAGCCUGUUUGAGCCCCUUCAGAGUACUAUUGUUGUCAUACCAGUCACAUGUUGGUUGGUAUGUGACAUUUGAGGGCGAGUUUCUAGAUCCCAAACAAAAUACUGAAGCCUGUUUGAGCCCCUUCAGAGUACUAUUGUUGUCAUACCAGUCACAUGUUGGUUGGUAUGUGACAUUUGAGGGCGAGUUUUUAGAUCCCAAACAAUAUACUUCCGCCUGUUUGAACCCCGUUGUCAGAGGCACUCCCUUGCUCAGUUCCUUUCCUAAUGUUUGCAGCUCUGGCACCGCAGUGUUACCAAUGCUGGGAGAUCAGGGACAGAUUUUGCACUGUUUUCUGUGUCUGGUUUACUGUUUUUAUUUUUGUGUGCUUAUAAACACACAUGGUGAUACGUUAUUGCUCCCUGUGAAAAAUUGUUAUUGAUAAUAUUAAUUUAAAUAUUUUGUAUCUUAAAGCCCGAGGGCAUUAUACUAGAAGAUGAAAGACUGACGUGUAAUUUGACCUUCAUUGAGUGGCUUGUGUGUGUGUGUGUGUGUGUGUGUGACUGCAAAGUGAUUAUAUUGUUAGUUUCAAAAGUGGUUCCUCCUUCAGGGCUGUGGCUGUGUGUGUGUGUGUGUGUGUGUGUGUGUGUGUGACUGCAAAGUGAUUAUACUGUUAGUUUCAAAAGUGGUUCCUCCUUCAGGGCUGUGUGUGUGUGUGUGUGUGUGUGUGUGUGUGUGUGUGUCCCCACAAGCAUAGGUGCAUUUUGUGUGUGUCCUGCACCGCCUUGUACAUGUAAGACAUCUGCCCUUAAUGUCAAGUAUAGAAGCAUUAAUUUAUAAUAUUAUAUAUACAGUUAAAAGAAAACCUUCCAUAUUCUUUCAUGAAGUAUUAAACAUGUACUGAGUUAAUGUCAGUCUUCAAGUUUUGCUCAACGAUAACAAGUUACUGCUUUA